RNAcentral lists this ribosomal RNA (481 nucleotides) under uncultured Burkholderia sp. RNAcentral's name for it is "bacterial SSU rRNA". It matches the Rfam family "Bacterial small subunit ribosomal RNA", at positions 8 to 482 of the family's 1533-position model. The record is from RNAcentral. Lineage: Bacteria; Pseudomonadati; Pseudomonadota; Betaproteobacteria; Burkholderiales; Burkholderiaceae.
AGAGUUUGAUCAUGGCUCAGACGAACGCUGGCGGCAUGCCUUACACAUGCAAGUCGGACGGCAGCACGGGAGCAAUCCUGGUGGCGAGUGGCGAACGGGUGAGUAAUACAUCGGAACGUGUCCUGGAGUGGGGGAUAGCCGGCGAAACCGGGAUUAAUACCGCAUACGCUCUAUGGAGGAAAGCGGGGGAUCUUCGGACCUCGCGCUCAAGGAAGCGGCCGAUGGGCAAUUAGUAGUUGGUGGGGUAAAGGCUAACCAAGGCGCGGAACGGUAGCUGGUCUGAGAGGACGACCAGCCACUACUGGGACUAAGACACGGGCCAGACUCCUACGGGAGGCAGCUAGUGGGGGAAUUUUGGACAAUGGGGGGAACCCUGAUCCAGCAAUGCCGGCGUGUGUGAAGAAGGCCUUCGGGUUGUAAAGCACUUUUGUCCGGGAAGAAAUCCUUUGGGCUAAUACCGCGGGGGGAUGACGGUACCGGA